GUGCCUGAUAAAUAAUAGAUCUUCAAUGUCCAAAGAGGCUUUUGUCUCCCCAGCAGUUUGAUACUCAUGGAACUGAGGCUCAAAGGAGGGACUUCUGACGAUCUCAGAAUUCCACCUGGGCAGGUCGGAGAGUUCACAGCCCCUCGUCACUCGGAGGAAGGGAAUGCAGAGGAGCAAGGAUGCAGGUUCCUGAGACCAUACAGAGAGGCCUUCCCUGGGCGGUUUCCAGACCAAGAAGCCCACGCCCUUCCCCGGGAGCCAAGCCAAGAAGGUCCUGGGACUGAGGGCCCCAUAUGCCGCUCAUUUUCCAACCCCUCUGGGCAGGGCUGCCUCCGCUCCAUGCCUCAGAGAGAUCUUUGCAAUGAUGGAUAAGCCGUGGCCCCGACGGCCCUGGCCCUGGGGAGGAAAAAAAACAUCUUUUGCAGUUUCGUGUAAAGCCUCCCACUUUUCGCUUAAUAAGUGCUGAAAGAGGCACAAACAGAGGGACCCCGAGCUUGCCAUGACUAACAAGAUGACCACAUCAGGCAGAGCCGAGCUGGGGGAGAGGACCGCGCCGGCCGGCCGCCCGGCUUCCCGGCGCGGAGGUGUCCGAUUCCCGAUUCCCUCCCGGGACGCUCCGCCAACAGUGCUUUGAAGCCAUGCCUAGGAGCCCGGAGCAGGGAGGCACGGAGCGAAGUGGGGAAAGGGCUGGUCCUCCCUCCCGCCUCCCGCAGGAUGGGCACAGAUCGCCCAAGAUAAAGGAACCGCAGCCUCCUCCAACUUGUGCUGAGUCGCUCUUUUCAAAAGCCCUUUCAGAUGGUUUCACUUCUCCGCGCGCGCUUUGUUGAAAGAUGUAAAAAUUUCAAACCACCACAGAGUAAACAUUUCAAAACUCGCUCUUUGCAAAAAUCAGUCACAUUUUCCCAAAAAAAAAAAAAAAAAAAAA
This is a long non-coding RNA of Bos taurus (domestic cattle), 925 nucleotides long. The record is from Ensembl. Lineage: Eukaryota; Metazoa; Chordata; Mammalia; Artiodactyla; Bovidae.